AUGGUCCAAGGCUUGAGAGAGGGCUCCAGGGUGUUAAAAAAGCUGCCUAGUAGCUGCAGAGAGGGGCUUCAGGUUCUUCUCUAUGAGAAGGGCGGCCUCCAUAGCGUCCUGGGUUUUACCCCACUCAUCUUGAGAUGGCUUCUGCACGUCCAGGAAGAGGGCCAAUUCGCGAAAAAAGUGACCCACACCCUCCAGGGCCACAUCGUCGCGGUCGAAAUAGAAGCCCAGAGAGAGGUAGGUGUAGGAGGCCCGCAGUUGCAUGUUAACCAGGCGGUUGACGGCGGCCUCCACCUCGGUAGAAUAAUUCUGACGAAUCUGGGAGCUCAUGAUUGGUCGGUAAUAAUAAGGAGUUAA
This 354-nucleotide long non-coding RNA is filed under the name Bos grunniens (domestic yak). Its description in RNAcentral is "lncRNA (ENSBGRG00000011248.1)". The record is from RNAcentral. Lineage: Eukaryota; Metazoa; Chordata; Mammalia; Artiodactyla; Bovidae.